AGAGGCUCAAGGUCCACAUCAGAGCCUGUCCCAAGAAACCAAGGUUGGAGGCACCCUGAGCUUUGGAAGCCUACCCUUGUUUGGUUCUGAAGGCCAGCUGAAAGUCCCCAGGCCCCUGCUCUGGCUGCCCACUCCAUAAAGUGUUCACAGGGGCAGGGGGUGGCUCCCCCUCAUGUUCUCACACCACCUUUCACACCUGCCCCUGGGCUCACCUCAUUUCCUCACUCAGCAGGUCUCUGGGGCCUUGGGUGUCUCAGUCUUACAUCCUGUGAGACUGAGAGCCUUGCUUGGCCCAACCCCCACCUGCUCCACACCUACGCAGGUUCCUUUUUUUUCUUCAUUUUUUUCGCUACUGGGGAUUGAACCCAAGUGCACUACCACUGAGCCACAUCCCCAGCCCUCUAAGCACACAGGGACAGGGGUGUGCUGGUGCAGCUCUGUUAAGGCCCUGGAGAUUCAGACUUUUUCUUACAUGGAAUUGCUAAUAGGCAAGAGCAUCUCUUUUCUGGACCCCAGACUGAUCUGUUACAUGAAGUUCAGACUUCCCUGUCCAUAUCACUGAGAUCACAUAGGCAGAGGUCCCCAUGGAUUCCAGUUCUAUCAAAGGGGCUUGGGUGUUGAGUUCUAGCAUGCCCUUUCCUGCUUUCAGGUGUGGGCAUAGUAAUCUGCAAGAGGAUGGGCCUGGGGUCUCUCUCUCAAGCUAGGGUGAUUUGGGUCCCAUGACUGAGCUGAGUGAUUCAGCCCCUUCCUCAUGAUGUGCG
RNAcentral lists this long non-coding RNA (761 nucleotides) under Marmota monax (woodchuck). The record is from RNAcentral. Lineage: Eukaryota; Metazoa; Chordata; Mammalia; Rodentia; Sciuridae.